Molecule: long non-coding RNA, 246 nt
Filed under: Gossypium barbadense (sea-island cotton)
Lineage: Eukaryota; Viridiplantae; Streptophyta; Magnoliopsida; Malvales; Malvaceae
Description: long non-coding RNA (GBAR_LNC002180)
Source: RNAcentral
CGGCAGUGCGUUGAUCUUAUCACUCUGCAUCAUCCCUUUCUGGGAUCCUACAUACACUGGAGAGUUGUGACUAUCUUCUUGAUCAUUUAGUAGAGCCCAUGAUUCAGGGUGAGGAAAUUUGCGAGAUUCGAUCAACCUGUUGAGAUUGCCAAUCUGGUUUCCCUUGCAUGAAAUGAGGAAAGUUGUAAAGUAGCAAGACAACACAAGCAGCAAGUAUUUAAUAGUAACUUUCAUGGUGGCCUCUGG